Molecule: long non-coding RNA, 495 nt
Organism: Frieseomelitta varia
Lineage: Eukaryota; Metazoa; Arthropoda; Insecta; Hymenoptera; Apidae
Exons: 2
Source: RefSeq, a predicted model, not a curated record
UGCACGCAAAUUUUCUAGAAAAUUUUCCGAGCAACACCGCCGAUUUAUAUAACUCCGAGAGAGAGUCAGAUGCUCUUCGUACGCCAGUUCGCCGGGAAUACUGUUCCUCGAUUGCAUCAAAAUAGAUGCGGACAAACGCUCGAACAGUGUGUACCAUUCAUUCACGCCCCGACACGAAGGAAAUACACUUUCUUCCGUGGAAAUUCUCUCGUCGGAAGGCUCGGUGGCAAUAACAUCGCAACAAAUCGACGCUCGAACGAAGAAUCUUCUGGGAUGAAAUUCUCUAUAUCGGCUGUCUUAUUGGGAUUAAUUUGGACGCUGAGCAUCGCGAACGCAUCGAUGGAAACGUACAGCCACGAUUACAUCUUGAUGGCACCUUUACGCUGUCGCGCCGGUUACGUCCGCCUCGGCGGAAGAUGUCGGAAACUUUUGUAAUUCCAUCGUAUCGCAUAACAAGCAACAAUAAAGUCAGUCGGACGGACAAUAAAGCUUCGA